UGAUAACAUAAGGGAAAAUAAUGAUAUUACCUUAUUAUUAGUGUCGUCCAAAACUGGUGCCAGAAGACUCGGUAAGGCCAGAGACACAAACGUUAAUCGUCUUAAUCAGGCGUAAAGGGUUUGUAGGCGGCUUUAAAAUUUACUUAAAAAAUAAAUAAUAAGUAAAGAAUAAAAGCUAGAAUCAAAUAGAGGAUAUAUGAAAUAAUGUUUAGAGUAGGUCUGAUAUCCUUAGAUACUAAGUAGAAUAUUAAAGGCGAAAGCUUUUUUCCAUUAAUGAUUGACGCUCAGAAACGAAGGUGAGGAUAGGAAAUAGGAUUAGAUACCCAGAAUACUCCUCUCUGUCAACGAUGAAUGGUAAUUAUUAGUACAAAUUAUUAAUAAUAAUGUUAACACGAUAACCAUUCCGCCUUGUGAGUACAACUGCAAAGUUGAAAACAAAAAAAUUAGUCGGUUUCGGAGCAAACGAAGUGAAGCAUGUUAUUUAA
RNAcentral lists this ribosomal RNA (485 nucleotides) under Russula turci. RNAcentral's name for it is "mitochondrial SSU rRNA". It matches the Rfam family "Bacterial small subunit ribosomal RNA", at positions 434 to 949 of the family's 1533-position model. The record is from RNAcentral. Lineage: Eukaryota; Fungi; Basidiomycota; Agaricomycetes; Russulales; Russulaceae.